AACGAACGCUGGCGGCAGGCCUAACACAUGCAAGUCGAGCGCGCCCUUCGGGGUGAGCGGCGGACGGGUGAGUAAGGCGUGGGAACGUGCACUUCUCUGCGGAAUAGCCUCGGGAAACUGAGAGUAAUACAGCAUACGCUCUUAGGGGGAAAGAUGUUUGGGAGCAGGGUCGGCCUGCGUUGGAUUAGGUAGUUGGUGGGGUAAUGGCCGACCAAGCUGACGAUCCAUAGCUGGUUUGAGAGGAUGCUCAGCAACACUGGGACUGAGACACGGCCCAGCCUCCGACGGGAGGGAGCAGUGGGGAAUCUUAGACAAUGGGGGCAACCCUGAUCAAGCCAUGCCGCGUGAGUGAUGAAGGCCUUAGGGUUGUAAAGCUCUUUCAGCUGGGAAGAUAAUGACGGUACCAGCAGAAGAAGCCCCGGCUAACUCCGUG
Molecule: ribosomal RNA, 433 nt
Filed under: uncultured bacterium
Lineage: Bacteria
Description: partial 16S ribosomal RNA
Rfam family: Bacterial small subunit ribosomal RNA
Source: RNAcentral